Molecule: long non-coding RNA, 2397 nt
Filed under: Erythranthe guttata (spotted monkey flower)
Lineage: Eukaryota; Viridiplantae; Streptophyta; Magnoliopsida; Lamiales; Phrymaceae
Description: long non-coding RNA (EGUT_LNC001569)
Source: RNAcentral
AAAAAAAAAAUUGUGCCCCUAAUUUCUCCAAGAAUUGAAGUAAGACCAACCCCCUACUUCUAAUUUCUUCAUUCUCUGGGCCAUAAACCCCACCAAGUUUCCAAUUUCUACAAGUAUUGAAGAGAAAAACAAACUCACAAUCUGAAGAUUUAGAAGUGAUGAAGAAGAUGAAGAACAAUUAGAGGUAUUAUGCUUUUUUCAUUAUUUUUUCUCACCGUUGAAAACCAACGGUCAUAUUUGAAAAUCAUUCAAAUUUUAAUAUUUAUUUAAAAAAAUUAAAUUCAAGAAAUUUUGUUUUGUUUGAAGCUGGGUCCCAUUAAAUCAGAGUCUCCAAACCAAUACCUAAAUUUAGAACCAAGUUUGCAUAUUUAGAAAAAAUCUGAAAAUUUAGAGCCCCUUAAAAUUUCUUGUUGGUGUUGGAUUUUGUUGCAGAAUUUCUAUAUUAUGCAGCCCAUUGGAGUUUAGAGACUCCAUUGAAGAUGCCCUAAAUCUCGAGGAAUUACAUUCGUUCGUGGGGCUUGACAAAGAUUUGUAACUUCACUAUCUGUUGUAGAAUUCCAAUGUAACCUUGCGGCGAUGGUCGAUUAGUACAUAAACCAUCUGGAUCUCACUACAACAAAAUUAGGUUUUUAUAGCACAUUGUUAUAGCGUUUUUAUAGUAAAUGCUAUAAUUAGUUUAUAAUACAUAAAGAAACGCUAUAACUGGGCCGCGGAAAAAAAAUCGCUUAACACUCCUUUAAAAAAGACUCCGUCCUCACCCCUGUUCUUCAAACCUCAUUUUUUGAAGGGAAAAAUUCUCAGUUCCAAUCUGACAUCUCUCUCAAAUUGAGGUCGUCAAUUAGCCUGCAUCGUCUUGCCGGAACGUUUCUAGCGGAAUCCUUCUCUUGUCGGACAUUUGAAAUACUCCAUCCGACCUUUCCAAAGUACUAUGUCGGUCUCUCUACAAAUUGAUUUACCGAGACCGUCUUUACGAUUUCCAGCCGUAAUUGGUAACUCCGAUUCUCUGUAUUUUUCUGAAUUUCAGUUUAUUUGCAAUAACCCCAAAUUUCUAUUGUGUUUCUUCCCCACCGAAUAUUAGAUUGCUCUAGGGUUCUUAGAAGAAAAUGAAUACUGAUUAGAUUUUCAAAGUCGUUAUUUCCCUUGAAUACAAAAACUCUUCUACCAAACAAUUUGUAAGUUUAUGAAUAUCUGAAUGUGCGAGGAUUAUUUAUUUGUGAAAUACAAUAUAUUCACAAGCACACACAUAUUUUGGAAUUGUUGGUUUUUACUUUUGAGUUGUUGAAGUUUGCAGAUCUAGCAUAACUGUUAUUUCUCAAAUUGCACGAUAAAUGUUCGAUUAACUUUUUGGUUCAACUUAUAGGACAUAAGAAGGUUUAUGGAAUUAGAUUUGUUGAUGGAUAAUUCUUUCGUGCAAUAUUUCUUGUUCUGAUCAGUGGAGGCAGUUGGAUAAGAGAGAUUGAAGAAAACUUCAAUCUCUAAUGACUCUUCUAUUAAACAAGGAAAAGAAGGGUAAAUGCUUAUUACCUUUUAUUUAAGUUUUAGUAAAACAAUCUCUGUAAGUAUGUGAUAAUUUUAAAUACACUUAUCUUGAAUUUUCAUCUAGACAUAGGACUUUUAAGUUGUAAUGACUGUGUACUGAAGAUGAAAUUCUUCAAAAUGAUUUAGUGAAUCCUAGAUAGGUGUUCAUUGAUUUGGUAUUAGAGAUGGAUAAGGAAAUCAAAAUCUGCACUCAAUUAUUUCAUUUAUCCCAAAUCCUUUUGUUGUUCUUAGUUUUUCUGUUUAUAUAUAGUCUUUUUUGAAGUCUAGAAUUUCAUUAAGUUAAUGUACAGAGUUAAGUGCAAAGUUAGUUUUAUCUUUAUUUUUUAUAUUUUGACCCUUGUUAUGCAAGUUAUGGUUACAUUUUACAGAGAUUUGAACAAAAUGGGAAAUGCAAAUACUACAUUGAUGAAUGUUGAUAAACCAACUGCAUGUGAUCGGCGCUCAAUUGAAAAAAAAAAAGAUGACAGUGUAAUCUCAUAGAAACAAAGUAUUUGUUAUUUCGUUGUCUAAAGCUUAUUCUUGGUGACUCGUGACUCUAUAAUAUGUUGCUAUUGCCUAUCAAUAGUUGUAUAAUUAGCUGUUCAGAUAAUUUAUGGUUGACUAUUCAAAUAUUGCGUCCUAAAAUUUCUAUUUUUCCUCAAUAGAUACCAGAGGAAACAUGAGCUAGAGUGGAAAAUGGGACGUUGAUCUUCUAGUUUUCGCAUUAUUCUUGUCGCAAUGGUUCAAGUGGUUUUCUCCAAAAUAACUCUCAUUUCAUAUCUUUUGUAACCUAGUGAAUACUAUUGAAUCGAAUAUAAUUUAUAUCGGCUUAGGCAUUUCUGUCACUUUCUUUUUCUUUGUUAUCAUAAUAAAAUCUUA